GACGAACGCUGGCGGCGUGCUUAACACAUGCAAGUCGAACGGAAAGGCCCUGCUGUUGUGGGGUGCUCGAGUGGCGAACGGGUGAGUAACACGUGAGUAACCUGCCCUUGACUUUGGGAUAACUUCAGGAAACUGGGGCUAAUACCGGAUAUGAGCUCCUGCUGCAUGGUGGGGGUUGGAAAGUUUCGGCGGUUGGGGAUGGACUCGCGGCUUAUCAGCUUGUUGGUGGGGUAGUGGCUUACCAAGGCUUUGACGGGUAGCCGGCCUGAGAGGGUGACCGGCCAAAUUGGGACUGAGAUACGGCCCAGCCUCCUACGGGAGGCAGAAGGGGGGAAUAUUGCACAAUGGGCGGAAGCCGGAUGCAGCACGGCCGCGUGCGGGAUGACGGCCUUCGGGUUGUAAACCGCUUUCGCCUGUGACGAAGCGUGAGUGACGGUAAUGGGUAAAGAAGCACCGGCUAACUACGUG
RNAcentral lists this ribosomal RNA (468 nucleotides) under uncultured bacterium. RNAcentral's name for it is "partial 16S ribosomal RNA". It matches the Rfam family "Bacterial small subunit ribosomal RNA", at positions 28 to 507 of the family's 1533-position model. The record is from RNAcentral.